GGGGUAGACUUGGAUUUGACAGCAUGAAGAAUAGGUAUGUAAGCAUGUCGGGAGCAGUGAAACGGCCCGUAAAUCCCGGACACAAAAUUUUAAUUGGCGAAACUAAUUACGCUCUCGCUGCCUAAUCUUUAGAAGAUUCGGGGCUUAAUCUCUGCUCAAGGAGCGGAGACGAGACAUCCCGCCGGUGGUUCCACCUUAUUCCGGCCGACAAAUGGGGUGCAGUCAAUAUAAGGUUAGCCUGAACCGGCUUCGGGGGAAAGGCGAAAUUUUAGAAGCUAAGCGAUAGCUUGGGUGCCUCUUUCCGGUCUAUCGAUGAAAACCAACAAGCGGCUAAGCAUGUAGAAAGCAUAUUGAUUCCGUGUUUGGACCAGGGUUCGAAACCCUGCUACUCCACA
This 395-nucleotide transfer-messenger RNA is filed under the name uncultured Odoribacter sp. It matches the Rfam family "transfer-messenger RNA". Rfam says of the family: Bacterial tmRNA, also known as 10Sa RNA or SsrA, is named for its dual tRNA and mRNA-like properties. The record is from RNAcentral. Lineage: Bacteria; Pseudomonadati; Bacteroidota; Bacteroidia; Bacteroidales; Odoribacteraceae.